GGGCUUGACAUCCCACGAACCUGCCCGAAAGGGUAGGGUGCCCGCAAGGGAGCGUGGAGACAGGUGGUGCAUGGCUGUCGUCAGCUCGUGUCGUGAGAUGUUGGGUUAAGUCCCGCAACGAGCGCAACCCUCACCCCUUGUUGCCACCGGGUCAUGCCGAGCACUCUAGGGGAACUGCCAGCGUCAAGCUGGAGGAAGGCGGGGAUGACGUCAAGUCAUCAUGCCCCUUACGCCCUGGGCGACACACGUGCUACAAUGGCUGGUACAAAGGGAUGCAAGACCGCGAGGUGGAGUUAAUCCCAAAAAACCGGUCUAAGUUCAGAUUGCAGUCUGCAACUCGACUGCAUGAAGGAGGAAUCGCUAGUAAUCGCGCAUCAGCACGGCGCGGUGAAUACGUUCCCGGGCCUUGUACACACCGCCCGUCACACCACGAAAGUCGGCUGUACUCGAAGUCGCUGAG
Molecule: ribosomal RNA, 460 nt
Filed under: uncultured Methylomirabilota bacterium
Lineage: Bacteria; Methylomirabilota (SeqCode)
Description: bacterial SSU rRNA
Rfam family: Bacterial small subunit ribosomal RNA
Source: RNAcentral